UUCGAGGUAGUGACGAGAAAUAACAAUACAGGGCAUUUUAUGCUCUGUAAUUGGAAUGAUGGGAAUGUAAAACCCUCUCAGAGUAACAAUUGGAGGGCAAGUCUGGUGCCAGCAGCCGCGGUAAUUCCAGCUCCAAUAGUGUAUAUUAGAGUUGUUGCAGUUAAAAAGCUCGUAGUUGGAUUUCUGUCGUGGUCAUCCGGUACCGCCCGUAUGGGUGCGCACCUGGUUUGACCUCGGCUUUCUUCCGGUAGCCUUCCGCGCUUCACUGCGCGGUUGGUGUUCCGGAACUUUUACUUUGAGAAAAAUAGAGUGUUUCAAGCAGGCUUGUCGCCCUGAAUACUUCAGCAUGGAAUAAUAAGAUAGGACCUUGGUUCUAUUUUGUUGGUUUCUAGGACCAAGGUAAUGAUUAAUAG
This 413-nucleotide ribosomal RNA is filed under the name Eimeria cahirinensis. RNAcentral describes it as "SSU rRNA". It matches the Rfam family "Eukaryotic small subunit ribosomal RNA", at positions 458 to 875 of the family's 1831-position model. The record is from RNAcentral. Lineage: Eukaryota; Apicomplexa; Conoidasida; Eucoccidiorida; Eimeriidae.